Molecule: long non-coding RNA, 864 nt
Organism: Anolis carolinensis (green anole)
Lineage: Eukaryota; Metazoa; Chordata; Lepidosauria; Squamata; Anolidae
Exons: 2
Source: RefSeq, a predicted model, not a curated record
AUAAGCAAGCGCUCUCCAGCUUCUCGCAGGGCUUGCGGAAUCGUUGGGGUCACCAAAGUUAUGCAAUAUUUAAGACACGGCUGAUACUUCCAAUAUUAAGCUUGCUAUACUUUUUGGAGGAAGCCAAGAGCCACGCUGCCUAUAAAAGACCCAUCAACCGGAGAAAUACAGCAGAAGCUGCUUUUCCGGGGAAGUCAAGUGCGGCAAUGAUAUUCUUUCCAGGCUUCAUUGACCGCUGAUGGCUGGUUGCUACUUUUUGCAGGGACUAUUUACAGAACAGAAAAGCAUCUCAAGUUCUGAGGACCACUGGGAAGGAAUCCCACUGGAGCUAGGGAAGUUACAACUGUGACAAGGAGAAGAGGAGGCCACUGAGGACAUCUUUCGAACUGUGAACCCACUGGUUUGUAGGAUUGAGUGCCACAGUGUCACUAUCACAGCCUCCUUAACUCUGGUACGGCAAUGUGCUCUGAUGGGAAACCUCUGAAGUUCAUCAGUGCCAUAUCAUUGCAAAGCCGCCCGACUGCCCUUCCUUUAGAUCAGGGAUAAUAAAGUGUUGUUAGUCUUUUCAAGGUCAAACUGCACUUCUUGCUAUGAAAAUAUAAGAGAGAAGCACAUUACUUUGUCAAGUUAAUACAGUGUGAUAGACUUUCUCAGGCAGCCCAUCCAGAAAGACUGUAAACGUCUAAUAGAUUUAGGGAAACGGUUCCUCGGGGAACGUAUUAGGAAGAAGCCAUCGAUGGAUCAAAUUGCUCACUGAGUAUUACUUAUUGGGGAACAGCAUGGUUUUAAAUGAUUGCUCUCUUAUCAAAAGCCUGGAGACAAAUUGCAUGCCUUGGAUUAAACUUUACAAGAAUGGGUCAAUAA